AAAAUAAAUUUCCAAUAUAAAAAUGAGAAAAAAUGCGAUACACUCUAUUUAUAAAGAUCAAGAAUGUAGCCUAUAGUCGAUUUUACGAUUUCCCUAAAGAAAGACAGACAGACCUUGAAUUCUAUAUUGAUGUUGAGCGGUCCUAUAAUUAUAAUCGAGGCUGUAAUAUUGCUGUCUUUCCUGUUGAACGAAGCUAAACAAAUGUAUAAACGAAUUUUGUUGUUCAAAGAGGGCCUGGAGAACUGAAUGUCAGUCUGUUUUACAUAUCAAAUCUCAUAUUAGACAGCAUAUCAACAAACCUACAGCUCCAAAAAAAUCUCGACAGAAAAUAAUUCGUACCGUACCAAAAUACUAAGAAAAAACGAAUACACGCAAUAUUUCAUGUAAAUAUUCGCUGAGAUGAUAUGCUGGAAAUAGUU
RNAcentral lists this small RNA (419 nucleotides) under Drosophila pseudoobscura pseudoobscura. RNAcentral's name for it is "GA30625". The record is from RNAcentral. Lineage: Eukaryota; Metazoa; Arthropoda; Insecta; Diptera; Drosophilidae.